ACUCAGCCACCAUGCCCCACGUGACCGGCACGCGCGCCCAAGAAGACUACAGCUGCCCCUUGAUCCAGUAACCCGACCCCGAGUCGGAUAUCUUCGGCUUCGCAGCCCGACCCCGAGUCGGCUGCCCCUUGAUCCAGCAAUCCGACCCCGAGUCGGCAAUCUCUCGACAACGACAGGCUGUUCCCCUGAAGCACGCCGCGACCCU
Molecule: long non-coding RNA, 205 nt
Filed under: Phoenix dactylifera (date palm)
Lineage: Eukaryota; Viridiplantae; Streptophyta; Magnoliopsida; Arecales; Arecaceae
Description: long non-coding RNA (PDAC_LNC008332)
Source: RNAcentral